AUGGCGGCGCCCAGGCCCAAGUCCCCGCUCGACCCCUGCGGCCGCCACCGCCUGCAGCUCGCCGUCGACGCGCUCCACCGCCAGAUCAGCUUCCUCGAGGGGGAGAUCAAUUCCAUUGAAGGGCUCCAUGCUGCCUCCAUAUGCUGCAAAGAGGUCGAUGAGUUCAUAGGAAAGAAUGCCGAUCCAUUCAUAACGAUUUCAUCUGAGAAGGGAAACGCCGAGCAAUCUCAUCCCUUCCCAAAGAAGAUCCGAACCCGGUGGGCGUGUUUGAGCUGCUUCCCGUGGAUCUGCGGCGGUGGGUGCUCCGCCGUCCAGCUCAAGGGGCCGAGCUGCUGCUGCGGAUGCCCCCGGUGCUGCGCGGGGAGCGGGGGCUGCGGCGGCGGACCCUCGUGUGGCUGCUCAUGCUCCUGCGCCGGUUGCUCCUCAUCUUGCGCGUGCCCUGCCUGUGCCGGCUGCGGCACCGUGUGCUGCGGCGGCGUCCCUCGCCCUCGCUGCUGCCUGUGUUCAUGA
This 510-nucleotide ribosomal RNA is filed under the name Triticum aestivum (bread wheat). RNAcentral describes it as "partial small subunit ribosomal RNA". The record is from RNAcentral. Lineage: Eukaryota; Viridiplantae; Streptophyta; Magnoliopsida; Poales; Poaceae.